GAGCCCCGCCCCAGGGCCUCCGGGCCUUGUCUCUAGGGCCGCCCUUCUGCGAUUCCUCGUGACGGAGGCCCCGGGGCAGGGGAACCGUCACGAGGGUGCUCCGCGUCCAGCUGCGCAAGCCGGACCUUCCGCCCCCCGCCCCGCGCCCUCGGACCCCCCUCGCCUGAAGAAGGUGCUUCCCCCGCGCGGCAGCCGUGGGCCCCGCUCGCCCCAACCCCGUUUUGGUCUGUUAACGUAUCCGGGCCCUCAUUCGUUCCCAAGGCCGGCAGGGCUGCCGCACGGGGCCUGGACACCGAGAGAUCUUCCUGUGGCCUGGCCGACUCCUCAGCGCUGGCGUGGACCCCAAUGCCACCCCUCAGAAACGCCUUCCCUCCGCGACCCGCUUCCUCACGUCCCAGGACAGUGCACACUGUGUGUGUGGUUCCUCUCGGGAAGACAGUCCCCCACGGGCCUUAGCUCUGGCCUUCUUUCCUGCCCUCAUCAGGAACAAUGGCACCGUGUGCCACCAGGAGCUGGGAGGCGGUCCUCAGAGGCCAGAUUUUCCCUAUGUCUUCUGUCCCCACAACCAGACCUGCUCCCAGGCCUCUGCCUCCCUUGCCCAGGAGGAGAAUCAGCAAGACGUGGGAUUCCCCGCCCAGUUCUCAGAAAGGGGGAAAUGAACCUGAUUACCCAGCUCCAGUCUGGGCCGGACGCUGAUUGAACUAGGAAUCUGAUAGAAAGUUUGCAAAAUUAGGAGGAUUUCUUCUUCUGGUGGGAGAUGUCACGGUGUAUCAGGUGGCUGGGGUUUUAGUCUCUGUGCUCUAGCCAUUAAUGUGCUGUGCAGUUUGGGGCAAGUGACUUGCCUUCUCUGGUGUCUGCUUCCUCCUCUGUAAAAUGGUCUGUAAGUCCCCUUGUGUUCUCAUACCCUAAGAGCUCUCUGGGUACCUGUUGUCUUCAUUCAUUCAUGUAGGACUUCUGGGGUGUUUAAGCCCAGGUCCUUUUUUCUCCUCUGCAGUAAGAGGGGAAGUCACACCACAGCAUGCCCCCAACCAAAACCCUCCACGACCUCCUGUCCCAUUUAGAGUAAGGUCCUUACUCCUCACCUGGGUAUAGGCCCUGUCUGAUCUGGUGCCUGCACUCUGACCUGUUAGAGUCCUCCAACCUCACACUCUGUGCUGGGAUCCACCUACAUCUGCCGGGGCCUCCCUCCAGAGCCCAAACCUUUGCUCACCUCCUGGGCCUUUGCACUUGCUAGAACCUCUGCUUGGCACUUUUCUCAGUUUCCUCCAAGACUGGCUUCUUCUUACCCAACAGGUCUCAGAUCAAAUGUUGCCUCCUCCAAGAAGUCCUCCCUGACUACCUAUAAUCCCCAACCCCAUUCCACUUCAAGUCUCCCUCUCAUCACCCUAGGAUAAAAAAAAAAAAAAAAAAGGCUUUUAAGUAACUUUUUUUAAAGUAAACUUUUAAGUAAAAUGUAAAAUCCACAGACCACCCACAUGCCUAUGUGUCAUAAGAGUACGGAUGAUGGGUUUUCACAAACCAAACACACCCAUAUAACCAGCACCCACAUCAAGAAGCAGAGCAUGACGCAUGGGGGGGGGAGCGGUUGGUGAAGGACCGUCAUGUGGACCAGCAUCCACUCUUACCCCAGGAGCUCUGGGGGCAUCGGGGAGCAUAGAGAGGGAGGAGCUGAGUGGGGGCACACGGUGCUGGGGUCCUCGCAGAGGAUGUAGGCCAGAGAGGGAGGGCUGAGACCUGACUGGGGCCUGCAGGACUCAUUCCUGAGCACGUGUGAGCACACCUUGUGUGGUGGGCCCUGUGAGGAGACCCCCUCCGGGCCCUGGGCCGGCAGAGCUGGAGGGGCCGUGGAGGACAUGGGCUGGAAAGUGCCUCCACCAGGAUGGUGGGGGGGGUGUCCCAGAGAGGGCCGGAGGGUGGAUGGAGCCAGGGGAGGGGGCAAUGCUGAGGCUGCGGUGUGGGGAGGGGACACCUCUGGUGUCCAGGCCCAGGGCCAGGAUCGUCACAAAAAUCAGCUCCUCUCCCUUACGGCCCCCUGUGAGAUGGGGGACGGGACCCCAUUCCCACGGGAGGGAACUGGGGUGCCUCGGCUCUGCUCUGUGAUGCUCUGAUGGCAUCUCCAAGGACCCGCACUCGGGAUCUCCCCAAGACGAAGCAGUCACAGCAGGGAGAGGGUCGCAGGUUGGGGACAUUUCGUUUUCUUUUGUAAAAGGAGUCUCUUGGCUAUUGUUACGACAGUGGAAACAGAGCACUUCCACAGAUCAUGUUUCACCAGGGAUGUGGUCCAUGUUUUUCCCUUUGGAUGAAUUCCCCCGCAGAGAGAUUACAGGUGGCUGAGUCACUGGGCGCGCUGCUCCUGGGCUUCUGCCGCUCUGUCCCUGCCAAGGCCCCCCUCGGCCUCCCGGAGCGCCAGGGUGUGUGCGGGGAAUUCUCCGAGACCAUGUGCCCAGCGGUCCUGGACGGCCUCCAGGACACGCAGGGCUGGGAAGCAGGGGACAGCGGGUGGCAGUGGGGAUAGGCCUGGCUCGGGAGCCCCCUUAGAGCGGCACCCCCACCCUGCCACAGAUCGUGUGUGUGUGUGUGUGUGUGUGUCUCAGAAAGGUCGGAGCAGGGUUGGCGGCCAUCCAGCUUCCUUGGAGCACUGUUUGCCUCUUUAAAUCUUGAACGCAUGUUACUUGGAUAUAUAUGGAAACUAAACACCAAAAGACAGAUACGUUUACAAAUUUGACAGGUGCCAAGAGCUUCACGGGUGCGCGGUCCGACACUGCCUUCCUCGCCCCUCAGGACGAGUGUCACCAGGGCUGUGUUCUGGGAACUCAGCCCGAGCGGCUGGGGAGGUGGGACGGCAUGAGCCUGGGGCUGGGCGCAUGCAGACCUGCUCUGGGUCCUGCGCUGUCAGUUCCUUGUGACGUCAUGGCAGUGACAUAAGCUCUGUUUCUCUCGCCUGCGAAUGGGAUGGUGAUGCUCAUCUUGCAGGGCUGCUGGAGGGUCAACUAGAAGAUUCUGGUAAAGCGUCCGUCAUGUACAGGAGCCAGUGUUAGCUCAGGUAAAGCGUCCGUCAUAUACAGGAGCCAGUGUUAGCUCAAGCGGCCGUAAGUGGGUGGUGGGUCGGGGGGUGGUGCAGGGUCCACACCGGGUGCACGGGACCUGCUAUCCGUAGGCCCAGUGGCUAGGGCACCCUGAGGCCAGAGCCCAGGUGUCUGCUGUCCUGGAGCCUCCCUUGUGACCCACUCCAGUCCCAGACAGCUCCCCACGGUCUCCCCAGAACAUCUGCCCACUCUUCAGAGAAGCGACACCCCCCCCCCCCACCUUGCACUUGGACUUGGGCUUAUCUCUUUCAUAGCAUUUCACGCCCGAGUCACAGGAGUGAGAGUGCGAGACCUGAGCUCUCAGUCAGAAACCGUGUUCCUGGGAACUGGAAGGCCGCCGCUGGCCUCUUGCUCGUGGAGUUAUGGGAGAGAAUUCUGCGCAUUUCCGACCAUGGUCUUCGAGACCGUUUUCCCCGCUCUGGAAAACUCCGGAUGGGACUUUUCUCGAGUCCCCGAGAGCUGGCUGGUGAGGAGGCAGAGAGGCUGUGUUCCAGGGUGGACCGGUUGGCUUUUUCUCCAUCGUGCUGGAUGCCGGCACACCCUUCCAGCCUGGAUGUCUUGGUCCCUCCGCUGGAGAGGCGCCCUCUUUGCUUGAAGGUCUCCCUCUGAGCUCUCCGGGUCUCCUGGUGUUUGGAUGUUGGAUUUUUGGAGCUUUAGAAUAGGGAGAAGUUUUCCUUUUGAUGUAGGCACAUCUAUUAGCUUUCUUUCCCCUACAGAUUUUGCUGUUGAUUUCAUCUUUAAAGUAUUCUUCCCAACCCCCAAAUUAUAUAACCUGCUCCAUUUUUAAUGUUGGCGAGAGCAACUUCGUCAUAAGGCUCGUGCUGUUUUCCUUCAGCUGAUUCUGCUCCACUGCGGGCAGCACACGUGAGUUUUCCUCGGGUGAAUCAAGGAGAGAAACAAUGUAUCGGUUACAAAAAGAAGAAAAAAAAUCCACAUAAUCUAUUUUAUCCAGAAUUUUAUUACCAGCAAGAUUCUGUUUUUCUUUCUUCUUUCCUUCCUUUCUUUUUUAAAGAUUUUACUGUUACAUAAUCUUUACACCCAGCGUGGGACUCGAACUCAUGACCCCAAGAUCCAGCGUCCCCUGCUCCCCUGACCGAGCUGGCCAGGAGCUCCGAGAUUCUCGUAAAUGUCAAAGCAAGUAUUUUCUUUACAAAAGUUAAUAACACGCAUAGGAAAAAAUGUUAAAGGACAAGCGAGCAGAAAGGGCUCCCAGGCCCUCAGUAAAUGCAACAGAAAAGCCAAAGAAGUUUUCAGAUUAUUUCUAGAUGCAGGGAUGUGGGACCCCGUUGCUGAAGGGGUGGCAGGUCGGAGAAGGAGCGCAGCGGAGGUGAUGAGCCCUGGAACCUGCGGGUCGGAGGUGGGGGAGCAGGACCCGACUGUGCUGGGCUCCGGCUGGGGGCGCGGCUCAGGAGAAGAGCUGCUUGGAUUCACAGGCAACAGUUUUCUCCCGGGGUCCUGGUGGGCGCUGGCCCGGGAGACCAGGCCCGGCCCCUGAGGGCUGCUGGGCUCUGGGUGGAAGCCAGAGCUGACGGCAGGGAACAGCAACACCAUCAGCAGGGUCCCCCUGGACUGAGCCUGGCUCCUGGCUCCUGGCACUGGAGAGGCGUUCGGAAAGGAAGCCUCUGUGAAUCCUCAUGAAGGGGAAGGGGCCUGUUUCCUGAGUACCUGUCUGCCCAAGGAAACAGCUCUGGGGGGAGGCGCUGCAACACAGAGGCUCCCUUGAUGACCACAGCCCACACUGGCCAUCUGGGGAGUCAGAGCGUGCAGCGGCCAGAGACCCAAGUGCCGCAGGCAGGCCUGGCCAGGCCCCGACACCUGCACGUGUGGGGCCCUCGGCAGAGGACGUGGACUGUGUGCUCUGCACUUCUCCACCUGCACGCCCAGGAGAGUCGUGACCUCUACUCCACCUUGGGAGCAGGACGUUGCAAGACAUCGUAUGUAGGGCGUGGGGCUUGCACAGAGGACUCGGUCUGCGUUCGGUGUUCCACUUGGGCCUCCAUCUGUUUACUCUUCUAACUGCCCAAUGGCAGUGAGACAGCAAUGGCUCAGGACUCCCCAGAGGGACAGCUGCUGGGACCCCCAUGCUGCUGUCCCUUUCCGUGAGGCAGACCCCCCUCCAAGCUUGGGUAGCUGGUGCUGUGCAUCAGAGAUGGGGACAAAUUGGCUCCAGUCUCCGGGCAUCCGCAACAAUGCCAGUCAGGCCUGGGCUGGUGGCUCAGCGACCCUUCCAAGGCAAGCAUCCCUUGUGUGUCCCACACUUAGUCCUGUCCCACGGCGGGGGCGGGUGUUGGGGCAACCUUGCUCAGCAGUCUGGCCCCUACGCCAGAAUUUAGAAUGACUUUUGCAACUUUUGGGAUGUACUGGAGUGGAAGGGACCCACCAAAAAAGUUUCUUUAAUCUGGGGCGACCUACCUCCCUGUCAAGGUCACAAACAUGCAGGCCCAGGACUUAUAAGCCCAGAGCUGGGCCCGACCCACAGAUGAGCUCCCCCUCGUGCACAGGGGAGGGUCCCCGCCAGACAGUGCUGCUUAGUGGGUAGAACACAGACUUCUUCCCCCGUGCGGUUCACAGUCCGGUGUAUUCUCGGCCCCAUGUUAACCAGGGCUGAGAAGCAUCUCCAGGCUAGGCCGCUCACUGAGAAAAAGCCAGGGGCCGUUCGAGCGGAGCGUGCUGCCCCAAGCGUCCACACUCGUUUCCUGGGAGGAUUCGUGGGAAACUGAGGCAGAAAUGGCCCCCGGGAAGGGGCACCGAGGGGCUGGGGAUGACCGACUUUGGGAGGAGGAGUACUUUUCACUGUAUGUAAAGGUUGAACGUUUACCCUGUGCUAGCCUGGCCCCCAGAACACAAAGCACAACGAAGACACUAGAACUAAGCUCUUCGGUUUGCCACACAGGCCUUUGAACGACUUCAUCUUCUCGCCAGAGAUUUGCAACCUGGACACUAGUGACGUUUGCACUGGACAACCCCUUGCGGUGGGGGCUGCCCCAGGCACCGUGGGAGGCUCGGCGGGGUCCCCGGCCUCUACCCACCGGCUGCCCAUGGCACCUCCCCCUUGGCUAUGACGACCAAAAAUCUCUCCAGACAUUGCAAAAUUCCACGGAAGUGAAAUCACUGCUGGCUGAGAACGACCGCCCGAGAAAACCUGCAAAAUGGGGAGUGGGGACCUGCGUCUCCGUCAGCCGGAUACGACAGUCCAGGCCCACAGUUUUCAUUAAAUUAAAAAAAAUUGUGUGCCUCA
Long non-coding RNA from Mustela lutreola (European mink), 6324 nucleotides. RefSeq lists it as uncharacterized. The transcript has 3 exons. The record is from RefSeq and is a predicted model, not a curated record. Lineage: Eukaryota; Metazoa; Chordata; Mammalia; Carnivora; Mustelidae.